This is a long non-coding RNA of Mercenaria mercenaria, 4887 nucleotides long. RefSeq lists it as uncharacterized. The record is from RefSeq and is a predicted model, not a curated record. The transcript is spliced from 3 exons. Lineage: Eukaryota; Metazoa; Mollusca; Bivalvia; Venerida; Veneridae.
UGUAAGGGCCCGCUUUAGCUUAUGUCUUGUUGGUAUAUUAAUAUAUUUGUUGCGAUUUAAUCUCCUUUUGGGUCCUUUCAGUUUUGCACAUGGAAGAAGAAGGUCGUUUGCAAAUAGAUGCGAGGGUUGAUUUUGCUUCUUAUCGAAGGAAUCCUCGAUUGUUUAUACUUGCUGAUGUUUAAUAUAUGGACUUACUUAUUCUAUGCGCAUUUAGAUAUUGUGAGAGAAUAAUUAAAUAGUAUUUUGAGAUUUUUGUUGAGUGAUUUAAAUCUGUAAGUUAUGCAGUUUAUAUAGCAGGGAGGUAGGCUGGUAUUAUUUGCUUAUUUUUAAUAUAGUUGUAUUUAUUGUACGGAUAUAUCUGUGUAAUUACCGAAGGAUUUAAACAUUAAAUUGAUUAAUAGCUUUUCUAUUAUACUUUGCAGUUAUCAUAAUGACUAUUUGUUUUGUGACCUGCUACAAUUUAAUCCUGGAGUAUUGAGGUGUUUAUUUGUGUGUUACUGGAAGGUGUGCACUUAAACGAGAGGUAAAAGAGCAGGUCGAUAUCCGAAGGUAAUACGAAUUAUUAAAUUGGUAAUAUGUCUUGCAAAUUUAUGAAGGUAAUUAUGUGGUUUCCCACGCGAAUUUUGAUAACAAUGCAUUCCUUUGUAAUGCAGGAUUAAAAAUAGACAUGUGUAAACAUCACUGCUAGCAGUGUAGCAGACGAUUUCUGUAUACAAGUGGCGAGUUAUUCAUGAGUCUGUUAAACUAUAUGUAGUACAAUAAACACGUGGAAGAGUCUAUUAUUCAUGAUACCUGCUUACAAACAGAGUAGGGUUUAAGCAACUUUAUCAGAUUUAAUCUCGCUGAAAAGUAUUUUCUUCUAAAGUGAAGUAAUUAAACUUCCAUUUCUGAGGAAAAUAAGUAGGUUCACUUUUCAAUAUACCACCGUUUCUUGCAGUAUGUUUGUUUUUAGUCCUGAUGGUUAAUGUAUAUGGUUUGUAUAGAAAAAUAUUGUUAAUAAAACAAUCAAAUGAAUAAAUAUAAAGCAAGUUGGCUUCCUACAAAAGAAAAAGUAGUUAUAACUUAUUGUCAUUUGUAGAAGGAUGACUGUUUUUCAGAUCUUAAUCUAUAGUUAGCCUUUCAGAUCAUAAUCUAUAGUUAGCCCAAUUGCUAAUGUCUGAUUGUAUCAGCUGGUACUGGCUUAGGAAAAAGGGUGCCAUCCUUAUCCUUUUGUAUUGGUUUGUAACUGGAUUUUGAAUUUAUGAUUACUGCUUAGGGAUGAAGAGAAAGUUGUUAUUAUCUCCAUUGUGUUGGAUGGUAUUUGAUUUUGAAUUUAUGAUUAAUGUAUAUUGACUGUGUUUCGCCCAUUUGGCUAUAUGUUCGAUCGUUUCUAAUAAAAAAAAGAGAAAGUUAAGAAAGUUGCUGUUAUCUCCAUUGUGUUGAAUGGUACUUGAUUUUGAAUUUAUGAUUAAUGUGUAUUGACUGUGUUUCGCCCAUUUGGCUAUGUUCGAUCGUUUGUAAUAAAAAAAGAGAAAGUUAAGAAAGUUGCUAUUAUCUCAAUUGUGUUUGAUGGUACUUGAUUUUGAAUUUAUGAUUAAUGUGUAUUGACUGUGUACCGCCCAUUUGGCUAUAUUCGAUCAUUUCUAAUAAAAAAAAGAGAACGUUAAGAAAGUUGCUGUUUUCUCCAUUGUGUUGGAUGGUACUUGAUUUUGAAUUUAUGAUUAAUGUAUAUUUACUGUGUUUCGCCAAUUCGGCCAUGUUCGAUCAUUUCUAAUAAAAAAAAGAGAACGUUAAGAAAGUUGCUAAUAUCUCUAUUGUGUUGGAUGGUACCUGAUUUUGAAUUCAUGAUUAUAAUGACUGUGUUUCGCCCAUUUGGCUAUGUCUGAUCAUUUCAAAAAAAAAAAAAAAAUGGUUGCCUAUUAUAUCCAUUGUGUUGGAUGGUAACCGGAUUUUGAAUCUAUGAUUAAUGUAUAUUGAUGAACUCUAUUUAGCCCAUUUGGCUGUGUUCGAUCAUUUAAAAAAAAAAAAAAAAUAGGUUGCCCAUUAUAUCCAUUGUGUUGGAUGGUAACCAAAUUUUUGAAUUUUUGAUUAUUGUACAUUAAGUGUUUAGCCCAUUUGGCUAUGUUCGAUCAUUUAAAAAAAAAAGAAAGAAAGAAGUUGCCCAUUAUAUCCAUUGUGUUGGAUGGUAACCAGAUUUUGAAUUUAUGAUUAUUGUAAAUUGAUGAACUAUGUUCAGCCUAUUUGGCUAUGUUCGAUAAUUUCAAAAAAAAAAAGUUUGCCGAUUAUAUCCAUUGUGUUGGAUGGUAAACAGAUAUUGAAUUUAUGAUUAUUUUACAUCGAUGAACUGUGUUUAGCCCAUUUGGCUAUGUUUGAUAAUUUCAAAAAAAAAAGAAAAAAUGUUUGCCGAUUAUGUCCAUUGUGUUGGAUGGUAACCAGAUAUUGAAUUUAUGAUUAUUUUACAUCGAUGAACUGUGUUUAGCCCAUUUGGCUAUGUUCGAUCAUUUAAUAAUAAUAAUAAUAAAAAUAAUAGGUUGCCGAUUAUAUCCCUUUUGUUGGAUGGUAACCGGAUUUUGAUUCUAUGGUUAAUGUACAUUGAUGAACUGUGUUUAGCCCAUUUGGCUAUGUUCAAUCAUUUUUUAAAAAAGGUUUCGGAUUAAAUGCAUUGUGUUGGAUUGUAACCGGAUUUUGAAUUUAUGAUUAAUGUAUAUUGAUGAACUUAUUUUAGCCGAUUAUAUCCAUUGUGUUGGAUGGUAACCAGAUUUUGAAUUUAUGAUAAAUGUAUAUUGAUGAACUGUGUUUAGCCCAUUUGGCUAUGUUCAAUCAUUUAUAAAAGAAUAGAUUGCCGAUUAUAUCCAUUGUGUUUGAUGGUAACCGGAUUUUGAAUUUAACAUUAAUGUAUAUUGAGGAACUGUGUUUAGCCCAUUUGACUCUGUUCUAUCAUUAACAAAAUGGUUGCCGAUUAUAUAAUUUGUGUUUGAUGGUAAACGGAUGGUUGCCGAUUAUAUACUUUGUGUUGGGAUGGUAAUCGGAUUUUUAAUUUAUAAUUAAUGUAUAUUGAUGAACUGUGUUUGCCCAUUUGGCUAUGUUCUAUCAUACAAAAAGAGAGUUGCUCAUUAUAUUCAUUGUGUUGUAUGGUAAUUAGAUUUUGAAUUCAUGACUAAUGUAUAUUGAUGAACUUAUUUUAGCCCAUUUGUUAAAUGAUUGACCAUUUCAGUCUUAUUGUCUGAAUGCCCACUAUAGACAUUGUGUAUGCUGGUGACAUGAUUUCGAAUUGAUGUGCUGCCAAAUUGCAAAUUUUUCAUAUUUUCCUUUCUAUCUCAAAGUUUAUAACGGGCUAGCGACAAAUUUACAUAUAUCAAUAUACUUUUUGCCAAAUUUUCAAGUAUACAAUUGAAUAUUUCUAGACAACGUCAAAAACCCAAGGAGUUCCGCAACACAGUCCAGAUGGUACAGCCACACCGCAACGCCACCCAGCCGUUUCAGCCCUGCAACCGGUGAAUCUGAACCCGCAACAACUUGUGGUUGUGGUGAGCCUUGUUGCAGAACACCAUUGUUCCGUGUUUGCGCAGCGAAGGGGCAUUUUGGCUGAUGAUUCGCUGCACUGUCAGACAGUGUUGAACAAAAUGGCAUUACAGUUUUCAGCAGUAAUUUCCCUGACCAUUUUGAUUUUUAAGGAUAUGUGAGCUUGUACGCUCGAACUCAAACUCCUCGAAUAUAAGUGCUAAAGGUCACGCAUUAUGUGAGGGAGACGUUAGUAUUCUUUUCAGUGCGUCCUACCCAUAUUUGGAUAGUUGGAUGUUCAAUUAUAAAGUCGGUAUUUCGUUACGACAAGGAAUCAGCUGAGUGUUCUCAACUUGUAAUGCAGCGUCAUAAUGCGACUAUACUGUGUCAGAGUCAGGAUGGUAUGAAAUGGCGGCAAGUUAAACCAUUAAUCUUACACUUGUUUCCUUUUGAAGACAAUCAAGGUAUCAUUGUUAUUCAUUGAGUAAUUAACUUAUUUUUCAUAAGAGAGAGCUAGAAAACGCGUUAAUAAUUUCGCUGCUCAUUUGUUGUUGUUUUUAAAUACAUUGGUGGAUACGUUCGUUAACCAGAAAUCGUCGAAUCCGUGACGGGUCUCUUCAACAGGGAUGGGAUGCACUUGUCAUAAUUUGGAAAUAUUAUGUUUUUAUUCACUCUGCAACACAAGCGUCAGUCCUUUUUAGCAGUAAAUUGUUAAGGCACAGCUUCUCAGGCAGGGUUUGCUUCGCUAUACUGGUGGCGGUUGUCAAGAAUUUUCCACGUUGUUCCCAAUUUUCGACAUGUGGCGGUUAGGUCAGCCUCCACCAGUAUAUCUUAACGUUGUGUAAUAAGUUUGUUUGUUUCAAGUAUACUGUAUUAGGCCUCUGUUCACAGGGCCUCCACAUCUGCAUUUUAAACAUAUACUUUAUAUCAUAUGUAUUUGUAUAUUGACAUUUAUGUGAAGCUGUGACCAAUUUCUGCCAACCAUUAAUUUAAACGAAAUUAGAUACUAAUUGCUUGCUAUAGUAAAAUUAUUAAUAGUAAAAGUAAUGUAUUCAUACAACUGUCUUGGGUUGUUCUUUUUAGUAUUAUUAUUUCUGUGCCAAGCUAUCUUCAGUAAUGUGUUUUUAAUGAUUACCAUUCAAAACCUGUUACUGAAGGAGCUCUUAUCCUGUUGUAAGGGCCCGCUUUAGCUUAUGUCUUGUUGGUAUAUUAAUAUAUUUGUUGCGAUUUAAUCUCCUUUUGGGUCCUUUCAGUUUUGCACAUGGAAGAAGAAGGUCGUUUGCAAAUAGAUGCGAGGGUUGAUUUUGCUUCUUAUCGAAGGAAUCCUCGAUUGUUUAUACUUGCUGAUGUUUAAUAUCCCACCCUCCACUCCCCUUAUUUUGCUUGUGUUCUCUUUUUUCUUUAUAA